Molecule: ribosomal RNA, 681 nt
Filed under: Eumenes inconspicuus
Lineage: Eukaryota; Metazoa; Arthropoda; Insecta; Hymenoptera; Vespidae
Description: partial large subunit ribosomal RNA
Source: RNAcentral
UAAUUUGUAAAUUUAGUUAAUAUAGAAAAAUUAUUAAAAAUUAUAAGUUUGAAGUGAAAUGUUAAUCGAUUAAAUUGAUAUCUAGUUUUUUUAGAAAUGAAUUUAAUUCAGUUAUUUAAUUAAAUUUGUAUUUUUAUUUAUAUAAAUUAAAUUAAAUAAUAAAUAUUUUUGGGAUAAUCUAAGAAUAAUAAUAAUAAUUGAUUUAAAUUUUGUAAUAUUAAAAUAUUUAUAAAAAUAGAAAUUUUUAAUAAAAAUGUUAUAAUUUAAAAAAAAGAAUAAUAUAAUUUUUUAAAAAAUUUUAUUUAAUUAUAAAAAUAAUUAUUUUAAUGAAUUAAUAUAAUGAAAUAAUGAUUAAAUUAGUAAAUUUAAUUUGUAAAUUUAAAAUAAAAAAUUUAAAUAAAUUUAAAGAAUUCGACAAAUAUUUUAUCCACCUGUUUAUCAAAAACAUGGCUUAUUGAAAAAUAAUUAUAAGUCAAUUCUGCCCAUUGAAAAUUUUUAAAAGGCUGCGGUAAUUUGACCGUACAAAGGUAGCAUAAUCAAUUGUUUUUUAAUUGAGAACUAGAAUGAAAGAAUUAAUGAGAUAAAAAUUGUUUCAAAUUUAAAUAUUGAAUUUAAGGUUUAAGUUAAAAUAACUUAAUAAUUUUAUUAGACAAGGAGACCCCUCAUAGGAAUUUAAUAAAC